Osmerus eperlanus (European smelt) is the source of this 1804-nucleotide RNA transcript. It is a transcript of the gene named coiled-coil domain-containing protein 106-like, with no coding region annotated. The transcript is spliced from 6 exons. NCBI's taxonomy places the organism in Eukaryota, Metazoa, Chordata, Actinopteri, Osmeriformes, Osmeridae. The record is from RefSeq and is a predicted model, not a curated record.
CUACUGGUUUCACUUGUUUGACCAAAAAGUGACAUCAAAUGUCAGCGUCAGCUUGUCAGAGUGCAGUGUUUAAACAAUGCAAGUUUAUUUCAAAGCGCUGAUAUGUAGGGCGUACAAAAUGUAUGUGACGCCUACUAUCGACUCACCAUGCUGCCUGCCUUUUUCCGUAGGGAAACUUCAACUUCAUCGCAUUACGACGAGGGGCAUUUCAUUGAUUGUGAAAGUAGGCCUUCUUUCAUCAACCACCUGUUGAUCUUUUCUUGGGAGCACUGUCUAAAAUGUAUUCGGCUCAAAAACUCGUAAUGUGACACCAUAAUUUUUAGAUUCAAAGCUACCUUGCCUGAGCGUCAAUGACAAUAUUUUUUUAAGGCGAAAGUGAAUCAAUGUACGGCCAAUUAUUAAUUGUUUAUUCAUUUAUUAUUUAUUCAUUUAUUAAUUAAUUAUUUAUUCAUUUAUUAAUUAUUUAGUCAUCCAAUCAUAAACUGUUGCUAUGCUAUCAUGUUACAUUCCCAUCCAAUAAUAAAAAAAGGAGUAAUGUGCUCCUUCAUAGUCUUCCGGCUUUGCUUUGGAAGUGAAGAAAAAACACUUUGGAAAGUUUGUGCAUCAAAAAUGCCUAAAGCUAAGAAGAAGACGCAGGUUACUAAAGAUGAGACAAUUGAGUUGACCAAAAAUAAUCAAGAUGUUUGCUGUGAUUAUGCUAUUAGGUCAAGAAGAUACAGGAAGCUUGACCCCAAGUUGCAGCGGUGGCAGCAGCAGCCUAGGAUCAGGAUCAAUAUCCAAAGUGGAGUUUCUAGAAGCCAAAAUCCAAUGACAAGAUAAAAUAAUCAAGGAUCUUGAGCAAGAACGGGCUUUCUUACGCAAGAAAAUCAUGGGGGGAAAGAAGAAAUCAACUCGGCCAAAAAUAUUUACUGUGGAAAAGGACAGUGAGGAAGAUGGCGACAUGGAUAUAAGUGACAUUUCCCCAUCUUCUCCAAACAUCAGUGAGUCCUCAGACAGUGAUGUUUCCAUCCGAAGACGGAAGAAGCCACAUCACACACGGUCACUUGCAACUGUGGCUGUGCCUGUGCAAGCUCAUAAGAGAGUCAAAGGGCCAGCUGAGGUUAUUCACAGAUAUCAAAAAGUCCUCAAAAGCUUCAGCCAUGUUCGCACGAUGACUCAAGCCUUCAGGAUCAAUGGUGUGGAUCGGGGAACCAUCAAGAUGACUGCUCCAAUUGCUGAGCUCAAGAUUGUGGACCCUGAAAUAUUCGCCAGUCUAAAGUUUGAUCCUGCAAGUUAGACACUGCUGUCCUUUCCUAAGAGGUGUGCAACCCAAGUUACCCCUCCGAAAAAGUCUAAGAUAGAGGACAUGAAAUCUAAAGGCCAAUUCCUUCCCUUGUUAAUUAAGUAUUAAAAUUCUGGCUAGCUACUUUGUUAAGUUAAAAAGUUUGGAAUGUUGUCCAAGAAGUGUGAAAUAAAAAAAAGUGUUGUUUAGCUACAAAAAAAGUUUAUAUUGGCCUUAUAUUGGCACACAGCAUAAAGCUCCGUAAACUGACAAUUAUUUAGGUGUACAUUUAUUUUCAAAGCCUUCAACUAAAUACUUUUUUUAGUAAACCUUUUUUUGUCACUGCAUAAUGCCAUUUGUGUUAUUUCACAGUUGUAUUAACUGUCUGGGAUAUAGAGAUUCUGAAGCGUUAUACACCUUUAUACUUUUAAGCUUUAUACUCCUUUAUACACCAAAAAGAUGUUAGCUGAAUGUGUUUUAUUUUUAUUAAAGAGAUGUUUAAACAAUCACUUAAGUAGUUGAUUAAUAAAGAAGAUAUUUCUA